Long non-coding RNA from Grammomys surdaster, 345 nucleotides. RefSeq lists it as uncharacterized. Lineage: Eukaryota; Metazoa; Chordata; Mammalia; Rodentia; Muridae. The transcript has 3 exons. The record is from RefSeq and is a predicted model, not a curated record.
UGUGAAUCUGAGGCUUGCCAGUAACAGAAGGAAGACACUGCCCAGGAGACAGGCAGAGGAAACACUAGAGCCAAGUACUGAAAGAACCCCAGUUGAAUGAAGCCAAGAUACAAGUGGUCCUGAGGCAGAACAAGAUUCUCUUUCUGAGGCUGAGCUCUGCAAUGGAAGUUCUUCACUUUUCUCUGGGGCUGACUAGCUCCACCAAUGAGACAUCAAGGCCACCACGGAAGACCCGCCCCUCUCUCACGACGGAUGCCUUUUCUGCCCAAUUAACUGCCCCAUUGCUUGUCCAUCGCUGCUGUCUUAUGUCAGGAGUGUUUUCUUUGUUGGUUUGAGAUUUUAGUC